UCAAGCAUUAAGAGCGCAGGGUGGAUGCCUUGGCACUGAGAGCCGAUGAAGGACGUGAUAAGCUGCGAAAAGCUUCGGGGAGGAGCAAAUAUCCAUUGAUCCGGAGAUAUCCGAAUGGGGAAACCCACUUGAGCAAACCUCAAGUAUCCAUACGCCAAUCCAUAACGUAUGGAAGGGAACCGGGGGAACUGAAACAUCUAAGUACCCCGAGGAGAAGAAAGAAACCUCGAUUUCCAAAGUAGCGGCGAGCGAAAUGGAAAGAGCCCAAACCGUGGUGCGUGCACCGCGGGGUUGUGGACUGCAUAAGGUACUCGAAUCAAUAGCCGAACAGUUUUGGGAAAUCUGAUCAGAGAGGGUGAAAAUCCCGUAGGCGAAAUUGAUGAGAGGCUGGCAGGAUCCAGAGUACCACGAGACACGGGAAACCUUGUGGGAAGCAGGAGGGACCACCCUCCAAGGCUAAAUACUCCUCAGUGACCGAUAGCGCAUAGUACUGUGAAGGAAAGGUGAAAAGGACCCCGGGAGGGGAGUGAAAGAGAACCUGAAACCCUGUGUUUACAAGCUGUGGAAGUGCCUUAUGUGCACAACCGCGUACUUUUUGUAGAACGGUCCGGCGAGUUACGUUUACUGGCAAGGUUAAGCACUACAGGUGCGGAGCCGAAGGGAAACCAAGUCUUAAGAGGGCGCAAAGUCAGUAAGAGUAGACCCGAAACCGGGUGAUCUACCCAUGUCCAGGCUGAAGCUGCCGUAAGAGGUAGUGGAGGGCCGAACGCACAUCCGUUGAAAAGGGUGGCGAUGAGGUGUGGGUAGGGGAGAAAUUCCAAUCGAACCCGGAGAUAGCUGGUUCUCCUCGAAAUAGCUUUAGGGCUAGCCUCGAUGGAGUCUUACGGAGGUAGAGCACUGAAUUUCUAAGGGGGCGUCAAAGCUUACCAAGGGAUAUCAAACUCCGAAUGCCGUAAAGAUGCUCAUCGGGAGUCAGACUGCACGAGAUAAGUUGGGCAGUCAAAAGGGAAAGAGCCCAGACCUGCUGCUAAGGUCCCAAAGUACGUGUUAAGUGGAAAAGGAUGUGGGAUUUCGAAGACAACUAGGAUGUUGGCUCAGAAGCAGCCACACAUUCAAAGAGUGCGUAAUAGCUCACUAGUCGAGAGGUCCUGCGCCGAAAAUGUCCGGGGCUGAAACACGACACCGAAGCACAGGAUACCGCAAGGUAUGGUAGAGGAGCAUUGCUGGCGCGACGAAGCAGUACCGGAAGGAGCUGUGGAGUGCCAGGAAGAGAGAAUGCCGGAAUGAGUAGCGAGAGAGAGGUGGGAAUCCUCUCGGCCGAAUAUCCAAGGUUUCCAGGGUAAAGCUGAUCUGCCCUGGGUAAGUCGGGGCCUAAGGAGAGGCAGAAAUGCGUAUCCGAUGGACAGCAGGUUGAGAUUCCUGCACUAUCUUAAAACAGAACUGUGGGGACAUUUGUGGAGAGCACAGGCGCGGAACGGAAAGCCGCGUGCAAGCGAAGGAGGAGUCACAUAGGAAAAACCGUGUGGCAAUCCAGAGGCGUGAUGCGGACCGAACUAAAGUAGGGAAGUGUGUGAGCCAUGAAUCAAGAAAAGCCGCUAUUGUUUUUAAGAUACCCGUACCGUAAACCGACACAGGUGGAUGAGGAGAGAAUCCUAAGGCCGGCGGAAGAAGCAUUGUUAAGGAACUCGGCAAAAUGACCCCGUAACUUCGGGAGAAGGGGUGCCAACGAGAGUUGGCCGCAGAGAAUAGGCUCAAGCAACUGUUUAGCAAAAACACAGGUCUAUGCAAAACCGUAAGGUGAGGUAUAUGGGCUGACGCCUGCCCGGUGCUGGAAGGUUAAGAGGAGAGGUUAGCGGAAACGCGAAGCUUUGAAUUUAAGCCCCAGUAAACGGCGGCCGUAACUAUAACGGUCCUAAGGUAGCGAAAUUCCUUGUCGGGUAAGUUCCGACCCGCACGAAAGGCGUAAUGAUUUGAGCGCUGUCUCGACAAUGCAUCCGGUGAAAUUGAAGUACCAGUGAAGAUGCUGGUUACCUGCGCCAGGACGGAAAGACCCCAUGGAGCUUUACUCCAGUUUGGUAC
Molecule: ribosomal RNA, 2079 nt
Filed under: human gut metagenome
Description: bacterial LSU rRNA
Rfam family: Bacterial large subunit ribosomal RNA
Source: RNAcentral